GAAUGCUGACAUAAGUAACGAUAAAGCGGGUGAAAAGCCCGCUCGCCGGAAGACCAAGGGUUCCUGUCCAACGUUAAUCGGGGCAGGGUGAGUCGACCCCUAAGGCGAGGCCGAAAGGCGUAGUCGAUGGGAAACAGGUUAAUAUUCCUGUACUUGGUGUUACUGCGAAGGGGGGACGGAGAAGGCUAUGUUAGCCGGGCGACGGUUGUCCCGGUUUAAGCAUGUAGGCUGGUUAUCCAGGCAAAUCC
This 248-nucleotide ribosomal RNA is filed under the name Klebsiella quasipneumoniae subsp. similipneumoniae. RNAcentral's name for it is "partial 23S ribosomal RNA". It matches the Rfam family "Bacterial large subunit ribosomal RNA", at positions 1292 to 1543 of the family's 2925-position model. Lineage: Bacteria; Pseudomonadati; Pseudomonadota; Gammaproteobacteria; Enterobacterales; Enterobacteriaceae. The record is from RNAcentral.